UGAAAAUAGGAACGUCUUAUGUAGCACACGCCAAACUGCGCGCUGAACGUUUCUCUUCGGAUAUUAAAAGAACAAGGGUAAACAAAUACUCAAGCACAAGCGCGUUCUCUAGGUAAGCCGUGGUAUUGAGGAAUUCUGCUUCAAAAUCUGGCGGAAAAACAGCUCUACCCACACCAUUUUACUUUAGAGAAGAACCACUGACGGCAAGAAGGCAGAUCUUCAUAAUAUCUUCGCAUUCACAUUUGGCAUUCUCGAUAUAUCCCUAGCAGUCAUCCGUAAACGCAUUGAUUCGUUUGCAGUGGGCGGAGCUUAAUCGACCAGCAAGCGCGGAGCAGGCGCGUGAGCGUUGCACAUCACAGGAACAUCGCUCGUUCUCGUAUACGAAAGCGACGAUAACGGAGUAACUUAUACCGAUCGAUUUGUCUUGAGGCGAACACGUCGUUGGGUUUGUAUGGUUUGGAUGAUGGUUGUGGGUCACGUGAUUGCUGUGUAGGAUCCUGAGGAUUAUAGAGAUAGACGAGCGCUGCAGCCGAACAAAUAUUAUUAUGGAGAGAUGAUGAGGCUGUUCGGGUAUGGGACUUUUUGAGGUCAGAUGAAAAAAGAGUUAUGAGAGGACAUGGUUCUGAUGUCAAUUGUGUAGACUGGCAUCCUCAGAGAGGUUUGAUUGUGUUAGGUAGUAAGGACACACAACAACCAGUGGACUGUGGGAUCCAAAACGGGAUUUAGUCUCACCACAUUAAGCAAACAACGUGAUAGUAGCAAACCUUUUGAAGAAUUCCAACAACCAACGAGACGAAUUAGAGCGUAGCAAAGCUGCAAAUGAUUUGAUUGAGCAACGAUGAACUUGUGGCCGGUAAAGAGAGAGAAUUAAUUAGCUGAGUUUAGGUCAGCUGCUGAACAGCUGAUUGCUGAUGCUUUAGAAAGAUCAUCUCAAGCUACGGCACAAUUACAAGAAGCGAAACAAAGUUACAUGUUGCAAAUCACACGCCUAGAAUCGGAACUCAAUCACAAAAGCUGUUACAGUGCACUGUGUAUGCCUUUCUUUGGAUCGUGAAAGCACAAUCACUACAGCGCUGACAAUGGCAAUUAGCAAACUGCAUUGGAGCUUCAAGGAUUAGAAAACUAAUCUAUUGCGCUUGCUCUGUGUUCUUCACAAGGAGGCAUUCUUUGCAUGCGGCUCCGUAAGUGUUUAGCUAGAAAUGAGCUCAGUGAAGAUGACAGUCAUGGUUCUGAAGACAACUGCGCAGAAGUAAAACGAAAGCAGACAAUGGUAGAAACCACGAUGAAGAGUAUGAUGAUGAUGACCUCAGCGAUGCUGAACUUUGAUAAUGCUAAACAUAGAAGGGCCAAAACUUCAAGAAUUUGAUUUUGACAGAGCUUUUAAAUUUUGGUAUAAAAGGCCAAGAAGGAUGGUAUUGGACACUUGACGUCUGGUUUUUGGACUUAGUCCUACCAAAGUCGCAUUCCUUUGAGCAUAACAUAUGUCACAUUAGUAUACUUUUUACAUUUGUUGUGAUGAUUGAUAAAUGUUGCCUCU
Long non-coding RNA from Corticium candelabrum, 1537 nucleotides. RefSeq lists it as uncharacterized. The transcript has 9 exons. The record is from RefSeq and is a predicted model, not a curated record. NCBI's taxonomy places the organism in Eukaryota, Metazoa, Porifera, Homoscleromorpha, Homosclerophorida, Plakinidae.